GACAGCUGGCGCGCGGUGGAGGCUCCGGCCGGGUGCCCUCGGUCGGCGCCGGGCGACCGCGGAGUGAGAAAGUUGGAGCGGACUCGAGCCCCGUAGCGGCCGGGCGGGCCGGGCGAGGCGGUGCCGGCGAGGCCACCGGGCGGACGCCGAGCGCAGCGGGGAGCUCCCGGCGGCGGAGUUGGGGGCCGAACCCGCUUUGUCUGGGCCGGGCCUGGCUUCCUCCCCGGAGCCUGACAGCCGCGUGCGGCGAUCGCCGCUGCGGAGUCGCUGGUCCCGGGACAGGAGGUGAUGACUUCCUCCGAGGGUGGGGUCCUUGGGGACAGCUCCUGGGGGCGAACGGUGCACCCGGGCCGACGGGUGUUCUCCUGAAGCAAGCCCAGCCCGCCGUCGUGGAAAGAAGCGCCUUAGCAAGAGGGUUUGGAAGACUUUCCUCUAGGUGUGUUUCGUUUGGGUUAGUAUAUCCAGUAAGAGCCAAGCGGGGUCUUUGUAUGAAUAUGUCUCGGGGAGCAAAUGGAGACAAGUUCAUUAUCACGCGCCUCUCGGUUAUCGUACCUGUUUUUACAGAGAACUCUACAAAUUUAAGUGAUGAAAAUACAAAUUAAUAGCAAGCCAGUUACACUUGUUUUUCUAGUCCUAUGUAAGCCGGGAUCGUUUUCCUAUCUUUCUGGCCCUUUUCUGCGUGACCCCCACCACCCCGUGCCGUGAGAGAACUGCCGUGCGCGGCUGCCUCCAGUUUUCUUCCUAUUCUGGGUGAUUUUCACUGGACACGUGCACCUCUGGGAAAACACUCCCUGCCAGGCUGAGCCGCCAGAGAAGCUGCUGUUGGCUUCUGGUGUUUGUAAAAAGGGAAGUUAUUUGUUUUGAAGCUACCCCCGAUCAGAUUAAGUGCGUGUUUUCCAAAGUCCACUUCAGGCACUUAUAACGAGGUGUGCCUAAACCAGGGGGCACCCAAGUGACUUUGGUUGUAGAAAUACUAAUUUUUGGUUUGUUUUCUCUGUGUCAUGGUGAUAAAAUUAGGAGACUACGAAGCAUCCAGUUCAUUUUUUAAAAAAGUAUUUGCUGCAGAUAAGCCAGUUUUGGAAGCCCUAGGGACAUAGUGGUUAAGGGCUACCGCUGCUUACCGAAAGGUUGGCAGUUGGAACCUACCAGGCGCUCCUUGGAAACCCCAUGGGGCAGUUCUAUUCUGUCCUUUUGGGUGUUAUGCACUGGAAUCAACUCAGCGGUAAUGGGUUUGGAAAUCAAUUUCAGUUUGCAAUUAGUUUUACUUACAGAACAAAUUUAUUAAGCAAGAAGAAACUGCUUCCACAUUUUUGACUGCGUACAGGAAUUCACACUUUCUGUAAUCCUUGAACAGAUAAUGUCUGUUUUCACGGUUUGCAUUUUCUCAGAACAUCCAGCACAGAUUGAGGUAUUCUGUGACCCUUUAAAGGUUCCGGAAGCCCCACAUCUUGGAGGCAGAAGCUACAGUCUCCUAUAUUCAAAGCAAAACAGAGAUUUGGUCACCUUGACAGGUGAUUACGCUGACCUCAGGCAGGCUGAGCUGUGCCUGCCUUCCUCCACCGGCCCCCCCCCCCGCCCCCCACACACAAACGCACACAUGCUCUUUGUUCCAGUUAAUUCCCGAGUACAGUGCUUGAUGCUUCUCAGGGUGAUAACUCAGCUCUUUAAAGCACGGCUUCCAACCCUUGGAAGAAACCCUUCAAGCAGAUUUUUUCCAGUUCGAACUUCGGCUGAGAAUUUGCUUUUCCACCCCAGAUGUACUGAAUCAGAAUCUACAUUUUACCAAGAUUCCCAGGUGAGUCUUAAUGUGUCACUUCCUGAGAACUUGUUAGAAAUGGAGAUUCUCAGUAGAGGUUCAAAUCAGAACAAAGAGGUUUGAAGCCCUGCUUUAAAGUGCCUGCCUGCAGGUGAGGAGCUGGAGAGUAACCUGAGCUGUGCAAACAGUGCUCCUCACACCUCGAAGAAAGGUUCUAAGUAAAGUAUUAGGAUGUUGUUAGAUGUCGUGGAGUGAGUUCUUACUCUCCAGCGACCCUGUAGACAGAGUAGAACUUCCCCAUAGGGUUUCCAAGGAACGGCUGGUGGAUUUGAACUCCCAACUUUCAGGUUAGCAACUGAGCUCUUAAUCACUAUGCCACCACAGCUCCAGUUAUUAGGAUAUUUGAUUAAAAUUUUGUGUACAUUUUUUCAGUGGAGAAAGCAUAUAUGUGCAUUUUUCAGAUCUCUGUCCAGCCUAUGAUUUGGAGCAUGAAUGGAGCUGGGAAGCAGAGCUGCCGAAGGACAAAAUCCACUACCUCAGUGGGUGGCCUGCAUCUUUCCAGGCUGGAGUGGCCUCUCCAGACUUCCAGGGUUGGUGACAAAACCCAGCGUGCUCUUCACACCAGGGUGAAAUGAUCAGAAUGUCACAGGAACGUAGCCUUUUGUGGUCUGAAAACCGAAGCUAAUGUGCAUUUUUUUCUGAAAUUGGUCCUCACAGAGUAGGAAAAAAUGGUUUCCUAGUUUUACUGUUGAAUUGCUUAAGCAAAUGACAAUAUUUUUCUUAGAAUAGAAACGCUGCUAUUUAUAACCAUAAAAUAAGUUGUGCAAAAGCGGUAGAAAAACAUACAAAGUAGGAAGUGGAAGUCUUUCGUAAUUAUCACGGCUGAAUUCUGUACACCCUUCCGGAUCCACGUGCAUCUGUGUAUGCGGGUACGGGCUUUAAACCACAAGGCAGUCCUCCCUGCCCUUUCCUUGCGGGUGAAGCCAGGCGAGCAGCAGGAGAGCCCCCUCCUCCCAGGCUGGUAUCGGGUGUGUAAGCGAGCCCUCGUGAAGCGCUAGGACACAGGGUAGGAAGAGUUUGCGUGUGAGCUGUCAGUGGACGUGUGAUGAUGGCUGUUUUUUCGCUGCAUUGUGAAGUCUAACACAGGCAUAGAAACACACCUCCAGUGAGAGACCACAUGGCGAAACGCCCCACGUCAGGAAAUGGAAAGUUGACUACCCAGACACCCCUUGUGCCUCUCCUGUUCCUCUGUUCCCUUCUACUCAGAGUUAACUGUGGUCCUGACUUCUGCCACUGAAGUUUAUAUAAAUGGGGUCACACAAUGUGUAUUUUUUUGUGUUUGGCCUUUUUUGUGCACUUUUACAUUUGUUAUACAUAAGGAUUUUUUUUUUCAUUUUCCCUGCUGUAUAAUAUUCCAUUCCAUAAAUGUAGCACAGUGGCUGGUCAGUAGCCAGUUUGACCAUCAUGAAUACUGCUGUGAACCAUUUUGUGUAUACGUCUCUUGCUGCAGCUGUGAAAGCAUUCCUGUCGGGCACAUACCUGGGAGUGGGAUAGGCGGGCCGUACUGUAUGGUGUUCACUUUCAGCGGGUAACACCACACUCUUUUCCGAUGUGUUUUACAGGUUUGUUGCAGAUUUUUACAGUGUUUGGUGUUGCCAGGGUUGUGUGGACAUGCACGCACAUUUUAGUCCAGCCAUUUCAUAGAGCAUAUACAGUGCUUGUAUUUAUAUUCCCUUGAUUUUUAAUGAAGUAAGCACCUACCAUAUAUGUAUUUGUAUUUAGAUAGCCUCUUUUGUGAAGUACCUGUUGAAGACUUCUAUCCUUUUUCUAAAUCGUCUCUUACUCUGACACUUGGAGUUUUACUCUGUUGGCAGUGCCUUUUGAAGAACAGUUUCUUUUUUUAUUUAUUAGUUGUAAUGUGGUCUGAUUUGUCCAUUAGUCCUGUUUAGCCCUAAAUUAAAAUCAUGAAGAUAGUUUCCUGUAUUGUAUGCUUGUUUUCCCUCAGAUUAACUAUUCUCCUAGAGUGAUUUUGGAACUGAUGUGCACUACGGAUCAAGUGUUAUUUUUCCCGUAGAGAGAUCUCAUUGUCCUGGCACAAUGAUUUAAAGCAUCAGUGUUAUAAAAUGUAAGGGUUUGCAUCCAUUAUGUCUGGACUGUUUCUGGACUCUCCAGUCUGCAUUGGUUGGUUUGUUGACCCCUGGUGCCAAGCCAAUAUCCUAACUAAUCAUAACUGUAUAAUAAGCCUUUUUAAAAAUGCUUUUUAUUUUUUCAAUUUUUAUUGUGCUUUAAGUAAAAGUUUACAGAUCAAGUCAGUCUCUCAUACAAAAAUUUAUAUGCACCUUGGCAUAUACAUCUGUUUGCUCUCCCCUUAAUGAGACAGGACACUCCUUCCCUCCACUCUCUCUUUUCGUGUCCAUUCGGCCAGCAUCUGACCCCCUCUGCCCUCUCAUCUCCCCUCCAGACAGGAGGUGCCAACAUAGUCUCAUGUGUCUACUUGAUCCAAGAAGCUCACUCUACACCAGUAUCAUUUUCUAACCCACAGUCCAAUCCCUGUUUGAAAAGUUGGAUUUGGAAAUGGUUCCUGUCUUGGGCUAACAGAAGGUCUGGGGACCGUGACCUCCGGGGUCCUUCUAGUCUCAGACCAGGAAGUCUGGUCGUCUUAUGCGAAGUUGGGGUCCGCAUCCUACUGCUGUCCUGCUGCCUCAGGGGUUGUCUGUUGUGUUCUCUGUCAGGAAAGUCAUUGAUUGUAGCCAGGCACCAUCUAGUUCUUCUGGUCUCAGACUGAUGCAGUCCCUGGUUUAUGUGGCCCUUUCUGUGUCUCUGGGGCUCGUAACUACCUUGUGUCUCUGGUGUUCUUCAUUCUCCUUUGCUCCAGGUGGGUUGAGACCCAUUGAUGCAUCUUAGAUGGUCGCUUGCUAGCGUAAAAGUGAUUUUUAUUUUAAAAUUAGCACACCUGCAGAAGCUUCAUAAAAUAAAUGUGUGGCUUACUGGGGUCAGUAUGAGCUGGAGUCGACUGGACGGCACCCAGCAAUGGCAACGGAUUAUUAUCAGGUGGACACAUUUGUAGCCACCACUGCGCCAAGCAGCACAAUUUUGCCAGCUCCCCGGAAACCUUCUCUGUGCCUCAGAUCCAAUCACCACUUCCUCCCUCCCUGCCCCCGUCCGUCCCUCUGUUCAGACGAGAAUAUCUGCAGACUUGGCACAUGUGAUUAUCACUUCUUUGCUUUUCUCUAUAGUUCUGUGACUGAACUGUGUCCCUCUAAAUAUUAGUUAAGUGUUGCCUGUUUUUAUUUUUUAAUAAGAUUUUUCAGUCUAUUGAUCUACAGAUUACCCUUUUGCCCUUUUCCCCUUCUGCCCUCUGUGGAAGUUAUUUGUUGAGGAAAUUACGUGAUUUGGCUUGUGAUUCUCAGUCUAAAUUUUGUCGAUUGCGUUCCUAUAGCGCAGUUUAAUGUGCUCCUCUGGGCUCUGGCUUCCUAUACGUUGGUAGUUGGAUCUAGAGACUUGAUCACAUUCAGGCCUGGCCUCCUUGGCAGGACUUCUUCACAAGUGGUGUUGGGUUGGUCCAUCAGGAGGAAUGUCUGGAUAUCUCUUUUUUCACGUUGGGAGCCAUUAAUGCACAUGCCUGCACACAUUAAUUCUUUAGGGUCACAGAAAGGUGAUGUUCUAGUUCAGUUCACAGGAUGGUGAUGUUCUAGUUCAGUUCACAGGAUGGUGAUGUUCUAGUUCAGUUCACAGGAUGGUGUUGUUCUAGUUCAGUUCACAGGAUGGUGAUGUUCUAGUUCAGUUCACAGGAUGGUGAUGUUCUAGUGCAGUUCACAAAAUGGUGAUGUUCUAGUGCAGUUCACAAAAUGGUGAUGUUCUAGUUUAGUUCACAGGAUGGUGAUGUUCUAGUUCAGUUCACAGAAUGGUGAUCACGUUCUAGUGCGGUUCAUAGAAUGGUGAUGUUCUAGUUCAGUUCACAGGGUGGUGAUGUUCCAGUGCAGUUCACAGAAUGGUGAUGUUCUAGUGCAGUUUAUAGAAUGGUGAUGUUCUAGUUCAGUUCACAGGGUGGUGAUGUUCUAGUUCAGUUCACAGGGUGGUGAUGUUCUAGUUCAGUUCAUAGAAUGGUGAUGUUCUGGUUCAGUUCACAGAAUGGUGAUGUUCUAGUGCAGUUAUUCCUUGCUGUUUUAUUAGCUGGAAUUGUCCUAUAAAGAGAAACUUGCCCUCAUCUGCUGCUUGGUUAUCUAGUACUACAGUUCACAUAGGAAACUGAGGAGAAAUGCUGGAUUCUUGUUUUUACAUUUUUCAAAAUAAUCAAUUUCUUAACCAUCUUUCAAAAGUGACUGAUGAAGGAUUUUAUUUUGAUAUUAUUAUGAAUUCAUGGAUUGAAACAUUUGAUAGAUUUUAAUUCACUGCUCUUAUCCUUAUUUCUGUUCAAAUUGUUCAUCUUUGAACAGUGGGAGCCUUUUCAGGGUGGCUGUAGGUUGCCUGCUACCCAGUUUGCCAAGGUGUUCUGGACUCAUCUCAUGUUUUCCCUGCCCGAGACCUGGAAUAAGCCAUUUCUUUAAGGAAGUGUUGUUUCUAUUCCUGGGAAAUGACAUCUCAAAACCGAAAUGUUAGGGGAUGCUAAACCACAGCGUUAGCGAUGCUCAUUUGUGUUGUUUGUAUGCCGUUUCCCUGAACAGAGCUAGGCUCUUUGUGUGUGUAUAUCGUUAUGUUCUAUGACCACCAGGUGUUUGCUCCAUCUUUUUUAUCUAUGCCUCUGUCGCCUUUCUACACGGAGAAUUUCAGUUCUUAAUACAUAGAAGAUGACAGAAUAUCGCAUAGUUACUGUAUUUUUACGCACAUGGUGCACGUCAUACUUUAUUUGCGAACUGCACAACCCCCUAUGCGUAAGUUUUAUAAGUGCACUAUACCAAUAUUUUUUAACAUGUUGCUGACCUUAAUUUCUUUUUUUUUUUCUGUCUGACGGAUUUAAUGUCCUGGGAUAAAACCGAUCUCAUGGAAAUAUCAUUUAAGGUACUUAUUUUCCUAAACCAAGUGCAACCAAUAGUGAACUGAACAGGCUCUUGAUGGAAAUGGGACCCCGUGUUGAAACCAAAGAGUAUGAAUGCACAAACAGCCAGAAAUUAAUAAAUAAGAAAAGACCUAGGCCUUAAACUACAAGAACAAGAUGUUUGUAUUUUAUUGCUUUCGUAAAUCUAAAACCGAAACAUAAUUUUUGAUAAUUAAUGUCUUUGAAAACAACAAAUAAGUCACCAGAAAAAAUUGUGUUUUUAUCUUAAAAUAGGCCAUUUUAGUUGAUUCGUUAAUUAUCAUUAUCAUCAUCAUCCUGGCUCCUGGAACCCUUCAGAGUCCGAACCCUCAUCACUGUCAUCGUUGAAAAUAUCUCAGAGCUGCCUGUAGAUGCUCUUCUGACUUCUGAACUCGUCAUCAUCAUCACUGCGUCCAGCGUAUUCAUCUUCAACAUCAGUAUUCGACUGAUAAACAAUCCCAACCUUUCUGAAGCUGUCGCAGAUAGACUCUGGGGUUAUUUUCCCCCAAGCAGAAGACACCCACUUGCAGACUUAUGUAUUGCCCGAUUCAGGGAUAUGUUGCCUCCAAAAUCCAAACAGGUCCACCAGGGGCCUCUUUUGCUGCCUUCUUUUUAGAUGUAGGAGGACCCAGCUGUAACAACUUACCGUUCUAGACGUACCUCACACUCCUGGACUCCUAGAAAUUUCGCUGAGGUGGAAGGCGCCUGAAUUUUUGUGGGAUUAAUUUCUCACCUGUCAGCAUCCAAAUGUUUUACCAAUAAGUCCAGAGUUAUUAAUACUUCUUCCUUACUAGAUCCAGUCAGCAUAGUACCAUCUACGUAAGGAACCAGUGUGUCGUCUUUGGGAGGGAAAGACAAUCAGGGUCCCUGCAGACUAAAUCAUGACAUAGGGCUGAAGAGUUGAUAUGCCUCUGAAGUAGGACAGCAAAGGUGUACUGCUGGCCUUGCCAGCUGAAGACAGACUGCUUCUGGUGUUCCUUUGAAACCAGAAUGGAGAAAAAGGUACUGGCCAGAUCAAUAGCUGAACAACAGAUACCAGGAGAUGUGUGUGUUUGCUCAAGCAGUGAAGCCACACCUGGAACGGCAGCUGCGAUUGGAGUCACCACCUGGUUAAGUUUUUGAUAAUCCCCUGUCAUUCUCCAAGAUCCAUGUGCUUUUUGCACAGGCCAGAUAAGCAAGUUGAAUGGGGAUGUGGUGGGAAUCACCACUCUUACAUCUUUCAAGUCCUUGAUGGUGGUACUAAUCUUUACAAUCCCUCCAAGAAUGUUGGCAUUCCUCUAGGAAUGUGGUAUUGCUUUUGGUUUACUGUAUUCCUAGGUUAGGGCUUCCUCUUGGCUUUUCCUACCGUAAUAGCCUUUACUCUACUUUUCAGGGAUCCAGUGUGGUGGUUUACCAGUUGCUGAGUAUAUCUAUUCCAAUUAUGCUUUCCAGAAUUUGGGAAAUCACUGCAGGAUGGACUCAGAGACCCACUGGACCCACUGUGAGAUGAAUCUGAGCUAAAACUCCAUUAAUAACCUGGUCUCCAUACUUGCCUAACCUGACUGCUGGGCCACCAUUCACAUGCUGAGCCUUCCAGAAUUAAUGUCUGUUCAGAGCCAGUAUGCGCUAAUCCUCAAAAAGUGCGAUUGCUUCCUUUUCCUCAGUGAACAGUUACACUCGUAAAAGGUCACAGAUCCUGUUUGAGAAAGCUGGGUGAAAGAUUGACAGUAUAACAUUUUGGCAGCGUAGUGGGGUCCUUCACCAAGGGAACCCGUCGUCCUCUUUACUUCAGAGGUUUUAGGUCUGUAAGCUGGCUCAAGUUUGGGAAUUGAUUCAGCGACAGUGACUGUCUAUCCUGGUGAUUUGAGUUAGGCUGCCGUUCCGAAACCCUGGUUUCGUAGUGGUUGAGAGUUUGGCUUACUAACCGAAAGGACAGCAGUUCGCGUCCACCAGGCACUCCUUGGAAACCCCAUGGGGCAGUUCUACUCUGUCCUAUAGGGUCACUAUGAGUCAGAAUCGACUCGGUAGCAACGUGUUUGUUGUUUGUGCCAUUAGCUUGAUGUAGUUACUUGUUCUCUCUAAUCUGUAAUGCCCAGUAUUCAUUUUUAUCAUACACUUAGGUCUGCUCUACAACACUAGAUGGGAGAAACAGUCAAUAUUCAUAGUACAUUCAAUUAAACGGGUAAUCUUAAACACAUAACCCUUUCUAAAACAUUCCAGUUUCCUCUUCUCUUCUCCACCCCUUGAUUAUCUUCCUUUUUGUAUGCAUAUGGCCUUGGGUCUCUGGCCAGGUGGAUCCAGCAGACCCUGGCCCCCCAUCAGUCAUCCCAGUUAUCUGGCCUGGCUUUUGCCCCAGGCCACUUAAGCUGCAGCUUUUGAGCUAUUACAGGUAACAACAACCCAACUAACCAUCUAAGAAGCAAAAGUUUCAUUUCCCAAGCCCAUUUGUUCUUUUUCAUACAAAGUCCCAUGCUCUCAUGAGUCUGGAGCCACUGCAAAGAAUCUCGCUUCUGAUGCCAACUGUAAAAAUGACGUGGAGGUGGAGUCUGACCUCUAACUUCACAAGGGGGAAGAAGAACCAAGAUCAACAGCCCAAAGCUGUAUCCUAUGAGGCCGAGGUGUCAGACAUGGCUUCUCUCUCCAUCAUCAUUACCGAUUUUGACACCAACUGCCCCUCCCAAGGAACUCUACUUCUGUGCUGGGUUCAAUAAUUUAUUGCAGUGGGUACACAGAGCUCACAACAUUUAUGUUUAUGGGGUUUAUUAGGGAAGUAACGUUUACAAUUCAGGCUCAGGACCACUCAGGAUACAGUUUUUCCUUUAGGAUAGCCUCUUCCCAGGCAUACUUGCAGGCAUGCCUGUCCCUGGCCCUUGGCUUCUGCCCAAAAGCACUCAGCUUUCUUGCUCCAUGGGCUGGGAAGCCUGCCAUGCUGUCUCCUGCUGUCAUUUCUCUGCCACUGCUUCUCAAGCUCUCAUUGUCUCUGUCUCCUGGUUCCAGGAGCUUCUCAGCCCAGAGAUCCUGAAUCCAAAGGAUAUGCUCUUCACUCCUGGCUGUUUUUGUUGUUGGCGGGAUCCUUUCUAUGCUAUGGAAUUGGCUCGUUUAAGGCAAAACUGAGCAGUCCACUCGGUGUGCCACAAUUGUCGUAUUUUCACAGGCCCACCCAGUUGGGUAGAAGUUACACAAGACCAUGGCUAGAAACCCUACAGAGAAGCGAUCCAUUCACUGCAGUGUCACUUUGAGGACUAUGGUGCCUGACCUAAGCCAUGAUAUUUUCAGUCACCUUAUAUGCAUGCAAAAGCCGGACAGUGAAUAAGGAAGACUGAAGAAGAAAUGAUGCUUUUGAAUUACGGUGUUGAUGAAGAAUGUUGAAUAUACCAUGAAUUGCCAGAAGAACAAAUAAGCCUGUGAUGGAAUAAAUACUACCAGACUGCUCCUUAGAUGUGAGGAUGGUAAGACUUCAUCUCACUUACUUUUGACAUGUCAUCGGGAGGGACCAGUCCCUUGAAAAGAACAUCAUGCUUGGUAAAGUAGAGGAUAAGUGAAAAACAGGAAAACCCUCAAAAGAGAGGGAUUGACAUGGUGGCUGUAACAAUGGGCUCAAACAUAACAAUGAUUGAGGUUGGCACAGGACCGGGAAAUGUUUUGUUCUCUCGUACAUAGGGUCGCUAUGGCUCAGCAUCGGCUCGACGGCACCUAACAACAAUAUAUACAUGGAGAGAGAGAGGAAGAUUUAUCUCAAGAAAAUGGCUCAGGUCCCAAGUCCAUUGUUAGGCAUCAGGCUGGAGGCUCCUUCUGGCUCACAUGGCUGCGGGUGUGACCAGCCCAUGAUCCACAGGUCAUACAGCAGGCAGCUGGCUCACGGGCUGUGGAGGGUGACAAAUCCAAGAUUGGCGGGCUGCUGUCUCCUAGGCUGCAGAGGCCUACUAAUCCCAAGAUCGGCAGGUAGGAUAGUAGGUACGUGGCUCACAGGCUGCAGAGGCUGAUGAAUUCCAAGAUCAGCAGGCAAUAUGGCAGGCAGCUGACUCAGGUCCCCAAAAUUGGAAAUUAGAUGAUGAGCCGGAUGCAGGAUACAGAGCAAGCAAGCAAGCUUAGCCAGAACGUCCGUUUAUAAAUUUGAAAACCCUCUUACAACUGGUUGGCUGGUACCAGCAUCCCAUUGUGGAGCAUGACUAUAUUGUUACAUGACUGCUAAACCACAGCGUUGCAUAACAGCCAAACCACGUCAGUACGUGCCUGCCAAACCGCGUCAUGACGUAGCUGCCGAACCGCGUCAGUACGUAGCUGCCGAACCGCGUCAGUACGUAGCUGCCGAACCGCGUCAGUACGUAGCUGCCGAACCGCGUCAAGACGUAGCUGCCGAACCGCGUCAUGACGUGGCUGCCGAACCGCGUCAGUACGUGGCUGCCGAACCGCGUCAGGACGUGGCUGCCGAACCGCGUCAGGACGUGGCUGCCGAACCGCGUCAGGACGUGGCUGCCGAACCGCGUCAUGACGUGGCUGCCGAACCGCGUCAUGACGUGGCUGCCGAACCGCGUCAGGACGUGGCUGCCGAACCGCGUCAGGACGUGGCUGCCGAACCGCGUCAGGACGUGGCUGCCGAACCGCGUCAG
RNA transcript from Loxodonta africana (African savanna elephant), 11359 nucleotides. It is a transcript of the gene named zinc finger BED domain-containing protein 4-like, with no coding region annotated. Lineage: Eukaryota; Metazoa; Chordata; Mammalia; Proboscidea; Elephantidae. The transcript has 2 exons. The record is from RefSeq and is a predicted model, not a curated record.